AACAACAAUUCAAAAAUAGCUCUGUGAUUGAUGUUAACCAAGGUCGUUUUUUAAGUCUCCAUUGAGGUUUUUGACUGAUCGUUUCUGCUCGGUUUGAAGGCCUAUGCUUUUAGUUUUUAUUCUGUUCAAAUCCUUGUUGCCGAUCUUGUACUCGACAUCGUGAGAAGUUCUUCUAGCUAAUAAGUUCCAGCCUUUAAAUGUC
This 202-nucleotide long non-coding RNA is filed under the name Nicotiana benthamiana. Its description in RNAcentral is "long non-coding RNA (NBEN_LNC028041)". Lineage: Eukaryota; Viridiplantae; Streptophyta; Magnoliopsida; Solanales; Solanaceae. The record is from RNAcentral.